AAAAAAAAAAGUAGACUCAUUCUCACUCACUACCCUCUUCAACCAAUCAAAAAAUGAAAUCUAAUAACUACAGUAUCUCAUGGAACAGAAGAUCUAUAGAUAAUGUUCUCCCCUUAUCAAAAUUGUGUACAGAAAAUUAGGAUGCUUACUGAGAAGAACUAUUCAACCACACAUAAAAGAGCUAUCAAGAUCUCACCAUAUGAUUCCCAAAAGUUCCUACGUCAAUAACUGCUAUUAUUUUAUUAGUUAAAAAAAAGGUCUUUGCUCAGCUUGCUUCACUCAACUCCUAGCCUAUCAUUCAAUAAUACCCCUUUCACCACAUGUACCAAUACUUCGAUUGUUCUAUUUGCCACCACAUGCACCAAUACUUCACAAGAGAAAAUUGUAGAUUAGUGUGGCAUACAAUAGGAUACUAUGCAAGUACCUGGAGAUCCUCUGGGAGGUACUGGUGCUUCAUUGAGAGGUCCAUGGCACGCUUAAGGCGCUGGAUUCUGGCAUCAACAAUCUCCCUUGGAAGGCGAUUAAGAGCUUCCUUGACGUCCAAAUCGUACAUUGGAUCAUGCAGAUCAUCAUAUCUAAGCCC
RNAcentral lists this long non-coding RNA (583 nucleotides) under Nicotiana tabacum (common tobacco). RNAcentral describes it as "long non-coding RNA (NTAB_LNC005750)". The record is from RNAcentral. Lineage: Eukaryota; Viridiplantae; Streptophyta; Magnoliopsida; Solanales; Solanaceae.